This 480-nucleotide ribosomal RNA is filed under the name uncultured Caulobacter sp. RNAcentral's name for it is "bacterial SSU rRNA". It matches the Rfam family "Bacterial small subunit ribosomal RNA", at positions 1 to 524 of the family's 1533-position model. The record is from RNAcentral. Lineage: Bacteria; Pseudomonadati; Pseudomonadota; Alphaproteobacteria; Caulobacterales; Caulobacteraceae.
ACGACUACAGAGAGUUUGAUCAUGGCUCAGAGCGAACGCUGGCGGCAGGCCUAACACAUGCAAGUCGAACGGAUCCUUCGGGAUUAGUGGCGGACGGGUGAGUAACACGUGGGAACGUGCCUUUUGGUUCGGAACAACUCAGGGAAACUUGAGCUAAUACCGGAUAAGCCUUUCGAGGGAAAGAUUUAUCGCCAUUAGAGCGGCCCGCGUAGGAUUAGCUAGUUGGUGGGGUAGAGGCCCACCAAGGCUACGAUCCUUAGCUGGUCUGAGAGGAUGAUCAGCCACAUUGGGACUGAGACACGGCCCAAACUCCUACGGGAGGCAGCAGUGGGGAAUCUUGCGCAAUGGGCGAAAGCCUGACGCAGCCAUGCCGCGUGAAUGAUGAAGGUCUUAGGAUUGUAAAAUUCUUUCACCGGGGACGAUAAUGACGGUACCCGGAGAAGAAGCCCCGGCUAACUUCGUGCCAGCCGCCGCGGUAAU